AGAGUUUGAUCAUGGCUCAGAACGAACGCUGGCGGCGUGCUUAACACAUGCAAGUCGCGUGCGCAGUUUCCGUAGCAAUACGGGGAUGGGCGCACGGCGCACGGGUGCGUAACACGUGGGCAAUCUGCCCUCCGAUGGGGAAUACCCCCCGCGAAAGCGGGACUAAUUCCGCAUAACAUUCCUUGGAUUAACUUUCGAGGAUUCAAAGCAGCAAUGCGUCGGAGGAGGAGCCCGCGCCCGAUUAGCUAGUUGGUGAGGUAACGGCUCACCAAGGCAAUGAUCGGUAGCUGGUCUGAGAGGAUGGCCAGCCACACUGGAACUGAGACACGGUCCAGACUCCUACGGGAGGCAGCAGUGGGGAAUCUUGCACAAUGGGCGAAAGCCUGAUGCAGCGACGCCGCGUGGGGGAUGAAGCUUUUCGGAGUGUAAACCCCUUUCGACUGGGACGAAUGCCUCGCAAGAGGAGUGACGGUACCAGUAUAAGAAGCCCCGGCUAACUACGUGCCAGCAGCCGCGGUAAGACGUAGGGGGCCAGCGUUGUUCGGAAUUACUGGGUGUAAAGGGUUCGUAGGCGGUGUGGCAAGUCGGGAGUGAAAUCUCUGGGCUCAACCCAGAGACUGCUUCCGAAACUGCUGUGCUUGAGUGUGAGAGAGGCUCGUGGAAUUGCAGGUAGCGGUGAAAUGCGUAGAUAUCUGCAGGAACACCCGUGGCGAAAGCGGCGAGCUGGAUCACUACUGACGCUGAGGAACGAAAGCUAGGGGAGCAAACAGGAUUAGAUACCCUAGUAGUCC
Molecule: ribosomal RNA, 791 nt
Filed under: uncultured bacterium
Lineage: Bacteria
Description: bacterial SSU rRNA
Rfam family: Bacterial small subunit ribosomal RNA
Source: RNAcentral